This 291-nucleotide long non-coding RNA is filed under the name Mytilus galloprovincialis (Mediterranean mussel). The record is from RNAcentral. Lineage: Eukaryota; Metazoa; Mollusca; Bivalvia; Mytilida; Mytilidae.
UCUAGUCACCUAAUUUCGUGGAUACAUAAGUUCGUGGACUUCCGGAAAUCCUAAAUAUCUCGCAUGCGUGUUAUUGUUAUGACGUCAUCAAUGGCAUGAUUUGAUUGCUAUAGGAUAUCCCUACAACAACAACACAAAAAUGAAUCGCGACGUUUCAAGCAAGGUAAGACUUAUUACUUAUUUAUUUAAUAAACAAAAUGGCUGAUUUUACUUAUUUCUUUAUUUGUCUUAUUUCCAACGACCUCAAUAACUUUAUUCCCAAGCUAUAAUCCCAAACUCAAGUGUUGUUUG